This is a long non-coding RNA of Oncorhynchus tshawytscha (Chinook salmon), 407 nucleotides long. NCBI's taxonomy places the organism in Eukaryota, Metazoa, Chordata, Actinopteri, Salmoniformes, Salmonidae. The record is from Ensembl.
GUGUGUAGUAGUGGUGGUGUGUAGAGUAGUGGUGGUGUGUAGAGUAGUGGUGGUGUGUAGUAGUAGUGGUGGUGUGUAGAGUAGUGGUGGUGUGUAGAGUAGUGGUGGUGUGUAGUAGAGUAGUGGUGGUGUGUAGAGUAGUGGUGGUGUGUAGUAGUGUGGUGGUGUGUAGAGUAGUGGUGGUGGUGUGUAGAGUAGUGGUGGUGUGUAGUAGUGGUGUGGUGGUGUAGUAGUGGUGGUGUGUAGAGUAGUGGGUGGUGUGUAGUAGUGGUGGUGUGUAGUAUGUGUGGUGUGUAGAGUAGUGGUGGUGUGUAGAGUAGUGGUGGUGGUGUGUAGAGUAGUGGUGGUGUGUGUAGUAGUGGUGGUGUGUAGAGUAGUGGUGGUGUGUGUAGUAGUGGUGGUGUGUA